This 662-nucleotide ribosomal RNA is filed under the name Macrolepiota albuminosa. RNAcentral describes it as "eukaryotic LSU rRNA". It matches the Rfam family "Eukaryotic large subunit ribosomal RNA", at positions 1 to 669 of the family's 3401-position model. Lineage: Eukaryota; Fungi; Basidiomycota; Agaricomycetes; Agaricales; Agaricaceae. The record is from RNAcentral.
UGAGCUCAAAUCAGGUAGGACUACCCGCUGAACUUAAGCAUAUCAAUAAGCGGAGGAAAAGAAACUAACAAGGAUUCCCCUAGUAACUGCGAGUGAAGCGGGAAAAGCUCAAAUUUAAAAUCUGGCGGCUUUGGUCGUCCGAGUUGUAUCCUAGAGAAGUGUUUUCCGCGUUGGACCGUGUAUAAGUCUCUUGGAACAGAGCGUCAUAGAGGGUGAGAAUCCCGUCUUUGACACGGACUACCAAUGCUUUGCGAUACACUCUCAAAGAGUCGAGUUGUUUGGGAAUGCAGCUCAAAAUGGGUGGUAAAUUCCAUCUAAAGCUAAAUAUUGGCGAGAGACCGAUAGCGAACAAGUACCGUGAGGGAAAGAUGAAAAGCACUUUGGAAAGAGAGUUAAACAGUACGUGAAAUUGCUGAAAGGGAAACGAUUGAAGUCAGUCGCGUUAGCUAGAACUCAACCAGGCUUGCUUGGCGUAUUUUCUAGUUAACGGGCCAGCAUCAGUUUUGACCGCAGGAAAAAGGCCAGAGAAAUGUGGCACCCUCGGGUGUGUUAUAGUCUUUGGUCAUAUACUGCGAUUGGGACUGAGGUUCGCAGCACGCGCAAGCUGUGCUUAGGAUGCCGGCGUAAUGGCUUUAAACGACCCGUCUUGAAACACGGACCAA